GUGGUGAAUUCCAGCUUCUUCCUGACCCUGAGCCCACCCCCAAGGUGGCCCUCAACCUUUAAGAGUGGGAGAGCAAAAUUGACGGCUUCGAGCGCUUCACCAAGAAGAUGGACCACAGGGCACUCAGCUCAACUUCUCAGCCAAUGAGUUGACAUGCAAGCAGAUUAUGGUGACGGGCUUUAAGAAAGAGCAUCAGAAGGUGGCCAGCUCUUCAGCCUCAGCCAGGUCUUGGAGCUGGACCAGGCCAUCACUUCACCAGAGAUGCCUUCAACACCGUCGGUGAGCUCUUUGCCAAUCAGCCCAGCCAGGAACUGGACCCAGUCAUGGACCUGUUAGUGCUGUCUCUGGGACACCAGGUCAUCAUCCUGGACAUCAUCCACAUACACAAGGAAGCUCUUACCAAAGUCAUGGAGAGCAGGCAACAUGUGGCAGAAGGGAAGACAGAGAUGCAGAGGCUGAUGACAUCAGAAUCACAGGAACAGGAUUUCUUUGGACACUGUGGCUGAAAUUCACCACUUCCAUCCAAUUCCAGUGAGAAACAUGGACUCACAGAUGCAGCAUUUCUUGCAACAAGAGAUACUAUUUUUUCAAAAGGUCACCCAGGAAUUGAUAGUGUUGAAUGACUAGAUACUCGAUUGUGCACUGUUUCCAGUUCAAGGAUGCUUUCUACAGCAGAAUAAUAACACUAGCAAAGAGAUAGUGCCAGGUAUUGGCGGUAGUACAAGGAUGGCUUUGUUCUCAAUUGAAACUCGGCUGAACAUAGAAUUGUGUAGGAAACAGUUAAUAUGGCGAUAGAAUAGAAACAGUAGCAAACAUGACCUAAACCAUGCUAUGAAUUCCUACACUACCAUUGUAACUUUUGGAAGAAUGAUACCACUUACUUUAUUGCUUUUUGAAGUAUGAAUAUUUUCGUGUAUAUGCUGUAGACCUCAAACCCUGUGAAGAGUCUCAAAGAAGCUGGCUGGAUAAAGCCUGCUGUGGAUGUCUUUAUAUUCAAAGAUUGAUGAUGCAAUUUGAAUAUGUGUCCUCACCAAAUCUCAUGUUGAAUUAUAUUUCCUAACGUUGAAGGUGGAUCCUGGUCUAAGGUGAUUGAAUCCUGAAGGCAAAUUUCUCAUGAAUGGUUCAGCACCAUCCCCUUGCUACUGUCCUCACAAUCAUGAGUGACUUCUCAUGACACCUGGUCAUUGAAAACUCUAUGUCACCUCCCUACUCUGCAUGUUUUCCUCUUGCCGUGUGAGACAACUGACUCUUUCUUUGCCUUGCACAAAGAUUGAAAGAUUUCUGAGGCCUCCCAGAAGCAGAAGCCCUGUGCUUCCUGUCCACCCUGCAGAACCGUGAGCCAAUUAAACCUCUUUUUCAUAAUGAAUCAUACAGAAAAUGGCAAAUGAGGACUGGAGCAUUGCUAUAAAGAUACCUGAAAAUGUGGAAGCAGCUUUGGAACUAGGUAAUGGACAGAGGUUGGAAGAGUUUGGAGGGCUCAAAAGAAGACAGAUGAGAAGGUUUGGACCAUCUUAGAGACUGGUUAAAUGGUUGUGACCAAAAUCCUGACAGAAACAUGGACAGUGAAGGCCAGGCUGAGGAGGUCUCAGAUAGAAAUAAGAAGCUUUCUGGAAAAUGUCUUCCUUUUGGAUAUGGAAAGCUUACACAAUGCCUGUACCACCACUGUACCUUAGAAGCAGUGAUCUUGCAUUUUAUUUCAGAGGCUUAUAGGCAAAAGAGGCUGCAGCCUUGACUCAGAUGAGACUUUGAA
This 1750-nucleotide long non-coding RNA is filed under the name Homo sapiens (human). Its description in RNAcentral is "novel transcript". The record is from RNAcentral. Lineage: Eukaryota; Metazoa; Chordata; Mammalia; Primates; Hominidae.